GGUACUUGGGUGAGGGCCUUGCAUGCUAAUUACACUUCCUCCUCUCUUCACUGUGGAAUAUCAGAGCUAAUUUUGAUUCCAUUAGGAGUCUAGUUACAGGCUGCUGAGCUGAAUUCGCUUUGGGCCAAUGGUGCACCAGCACUGAGACUCCCCUACUACAAGCUGAAAUCAC
Molecule: long non-coding RNA, 172 nt
Organism: Dermochelys coriacea (leatherback sea turtle)
Lineage: Eukaryota; Metazoa; Chordata; Testudines; Dermochelyidae
Exons: 3
Source: RefSeq, a predicted model, not a curated record